Arachis ipaensis is the source of this 288-nucleotide non-coding RNA. NCBI's taxonomy places the organism in Eukaryota, Viridiplantae, Streptophyta, Magnoliopsida, Fabales, Fabaceae. The record is from RefSeq and is a predicted model, not a curated record.
UGGUCGUAGUGCUCCUUGCCUCUCUCUGUCGUGGUUCUGCUCAGCCUCAUCUUCUCGAACCCAGCCCUGGUCGUGGUGCUGCUCGCCUCUCUCUGUGUGAGGUGCGGCCACCGCAGCUUUCACCUCCAGAAGAGUCGCUGCUCCGCCUGUGCUUCCCCCACUGCAUGCAAGAUGAAAUUACGAGAAGGUUGAGAAGAUUAGGGAAGGAACCUACGGCAUCGUUUACAAGGCUCACGACCGCGUUACCAAUGAGACCAUCGCUCUCAAGAAGAUUUGCCUUGAGCAGGA